Non-coding RNA from Acanthosepion pharaonis, 97 nucleotides. The record is from the annotation of a GenBank genome assembly. NCBI's taxonomy places the organism in Eukaryota, Metazoa, Mollusca, Cephalopoda, Sepiida, Sepiidae.
UUAAGCACCUGUUCCCGUAUGAUCACCGAAGUUAAGCAUAUUCGAGCCUGGUCAGUAAUUAAAUGGAUGACCACUUGAGAAUACGACGUGCCGUAUG